GGGGCAUCAUGGAUUCCGUUGGACAAGGAUCAUUGUCGUGACCCUGACCAAAAUCAUGUUGCCCCCGUUCGCGGUGUGCUCAUGGGAUGUGGCUUCUUUAUAAUCACAAACGACUCUCGGCAACGGAUAUCUCGGCUCACGCAUCGAUGAAGAACGUAGCAAAAUGCGAUACUUGGUGUGAAUUGCAGAAUCCCGUGAACCAUCGAGUUUUUGAACGCAAGUUGCGCCCGAAGCCUUUUGGCCGAGGGCACGUCUGCCUGGGCGUCACGCAUCGCGUCGCCCCCCACAACUCUCCGUAAAGGGAGCUCGUGUUUUGGGGGCGGAUAUUGGUCUCCCGUGCUCAUGGCGUGGUUGGCCGAAAUAGGAGUCCCUUCGAUGGACGCACGAACUAGUGGUGGUCGUAAAAACCCUCGUCUUUUGUUUCGUGCUGUUAGUCGCAAGGGAAACUCUAAGAAAACCCCAACGUGUCGUCUUUUGACGGCGCUUCGACCGCGACCCCAGGUCAGGCGGGACUACCCGCUGAG
RNAcentral lists this ribosomal RNA (524 nucleotides) under embryophyte environmental sample. Its description in RNAcentral is "eukaryotic LSU rRNA". The stretch from base 112 to 267 matches the Rfam family "5.8S ribosomal RNA". The record is from RNAcentral. Lineage: Eukaryota; Viridiplantae; Streptophyta.